UACGUAGGGGGCAAGCGUUGUUCGGAAUUACUGGGCGUAAAGGGCGCGUAGGCGGCAUGGCAAGUCGGGAGUGAAAGCCCGGGGCUCAACCCCGGAACGGCUUUCGAAACUGCCAAGCUAGAGUACGGAAGGGGCAACUGGAAUUCCCAGUGUAGCGGUGAAAUGCGUAGAUAUUGGGAAGAACACCGGAGGCGAAGGCGGGUUGCUGGGCCGAUACUGACGCUGAGGCGCGAAAGCCAGGGGAGCAAACGGGAUUAGAUACCCCGGUAGUCCUGGCCCUAAACGAUGGAUACUUGGUGUGUGGGGUUCUCAAAGUCCCCGCGUGCCGGAGCUAACGCGUUAAGUAUCCCGCCUGGGGAGUACGGUCGCAAGGCUGAA
RNAcentral lists this ribosomal RNA (378 nucleotides) under uncultured bacterium. RNAcentral's name for it is "bacterial SSU rRNA". It matches the Rfam family "Bacterial small subunit ribosomal RNA", at positions 524 to 898 of the family's 1533-position model. The record is from RNAcentral.